UAACCUGCAUUCCCUUAGUACGGCGAGUGAACCGGGAAGAGCUCAAAUUUGAAAUCUGGCAGUCUUCGAUUGUCCGAGUUGUAAUCUAUAGAAGCGUUUUCCGUGCUGAACUGUGUAUAAGUCCCUUGGAACAGGGUAUCAAAGAGGGUGACAAUCCCGUACUUUACACAAUCAUCAGUGCUCUGUGAUACGUUCUCUACGAGUCGAGUUGUUUGGGAAUGCAGCUCAAAAUGGGUGGUAAAUUCCAUCUAAAGCUAAAUAUUGGCGAGAGACCGAUAGCGAACAAGUACCGUGAGGGAAAGAUGAAAAGCACUUUGGAAAGAGAGUUAAACAGUACGUGAAAUUGUUGAAAGGGAAACGAUUGAAGUCAGUCGUGUUCAUUGGACUCAGCCGGUUUUCGGUGUAUUUCCUUUGAACGGGUCAACAUCAGUUUUGUCCGGUGGAUAAAGGUAGUAGGAAGGUGGCUCCCCCGGGAGUGUUAUAGCCUAUUGCCACAUACACUGGAGGAGACUGAGGACUGCAGCUUGCCUUUAUGGCCGGGGUUCGCCCACGUUCAAGCUUAGGAUGUUGACAUAAUGGCUUUAAACGACCCGUCUUGAACCACCGGACCA
RNAcentral lists this ribosomal RNA (611 nucleotides) under Apiotrichum coprophilum. RNAcentral's name for it is "eukaryotic LSU rRNA". It matches the Rfam family "Eukaryotic large subunit ribosomal RNA", at positions 66 to 668 of the family's 3401-position model. Lineage: Eukaryota; Fungi; Basidiomycota; Tremellomycetes; Trichosporonales; Trichosporonaceae. The record is from RNAcentral.